UACAGAGGUCCCAAGCGUUGUUCGGAUUCACUGGGCGUAAAGGGUGCGUAGGUGGCGAGGUAAGUUUGAUGUGAAAUCUCCGGGCUUAACCCGGAAACUGCAUUGAAUACUAUCUUGCUCGAGGGUUGGAGGGGGGACUGGAAUUCUCGGUGUAGCAGUGAAAUGCGUAGAUAUCGAGAGGAACACCAGUGGCGAAGGCGAGUCCCUGGGCUAACACUGACGCUCAGGCACGAAAGCGUGGGGAGCAAACAGG
Molecule: ribosomal RNA, 253 nt
Filed under: uncultured bacterium
Lineage: Bacteria
Description: partial 16S ribosomal RNA
Rfam family: Bacterial small subunit ribosomal RNA
Source: RNAcentral